UACGUAGGGUGCAAGCGUUGUCCGGAAUUAUUGGGCGUAAAGAGCUCGUAGGCGGUUUGUCGCGUCUGCUGUGAAAUCCCGAGGCUCAACCUCGGGCCUGCAGUGGGUACGGGCAGGCUAGAGUUCGGUAGGGGAGACUGGAAUUCCUGGUGUAGCGGUGAAAUGCGCAGAUAUCAGGAGGAACACCGGUGGCGAAGGCGGGUCUCUGGGCCGAUACUGACGCUGAGGAGCGAAAGCGUGGGGAGCGAACAGG
Molecule: ribosomal RNA, 253 nt
Filed under: uncultured bacterium
Lineage: Bacteria
Description: partial 16S ribosomal RNA
Rfam family: Bacterial small subunit ribosomal RNA
Source: RNAcentral